RNAcentral lists this ribosomal RNA (253 nucleotides) under uncultured bacterium. Its description in RNAcentral is "partial 16S ribosomal RNA". It matches the Rfam family "Bacterial small subunit ribosomal RNA", at positions 524 to 776 of the family's 1533-position model. The record is from RNAcentral.
UACGGGGGGGGCAAGCGUUGUUCGGAAUUACUGGGCGUAAAGGGCGCGUAGGCGGCCGAUCAAGUCAGAUGUGAAAGUCCUGGGCUUAACCUGGGGACUGCAUUUGAUACUGAUUGGCUUGAAUUCGGGAGAGGAUAGCGGAAUUCCCAGUGUAGAGGUGAAAUUCGUAGAUAUUGGGAAGAACACCGGUGGCGAAGGCGGCUAUCUGGACCGACAUUGACGCUGAUGCGCGAAAGCGUGGGGAGCAAACAGG